CGAAAGUCGGCGUCCCAGAAGCCGUUCUGGCUGCCGGCCGCCCGCCUUCCAGGCCGCGCCUGAUCCGCCGCUCCCCCUGCCGGCCGGCAGCCAUUUCCGACAGGCGACUGCGGAACUUGCCGAAGGGCGCCGCGCCGGAAAUGGCCGAAGCCGGCGUUCGCGAGCGGGGGCGCGGACGCGGGCGCGCGCUCGCCACUUUCCCGACCGCGUCCGAAGACCGCCGAGGCCUCCCGCAGCUCCGCGGUGACACCCGGGUCAGGGGCGCGGGGCCGGGCGCCGGGGAUUGUGGGAGGCGCGGGGGGGCGCGCCGGCCGCCUUCGGAGCCCCCCAACUCGCGUCCUGCAAAGGCCGCCGGGCCCUGUCGAGAAGACCCGACCGCAGAUGGCGGGGAGGAUGCUCCCGGCGGCGUGGGAACCGGGUCUGACUCCCGAGCCACCGCCGCUUCCGCAGGGGCGCCGGCCCCGGGAAAGUCAAGUCAUAAAUCCCUGAAUCUAAAACUCCAUUCUCAGAGAAAAGGCCUCCAAGGACGGGCGCCGUGCGCGGCAACUGCCUGCAGUUUUGAAGCCCUUUGACUAUUUCAUAACAAAGACAAGGCCGGGCGGCUUGGACGCUUAGGAAAAUCCUGGGGCUUUGCAAAAACAACAGGUUAAUCUAGUCGUGUGGGAUGAUCACCAAAACAAGACAGGAAAGAAGAACACCGUGUCAAUGCUGAAAAGCCAGCCCCUGUGAGCCCCAAAGUGCACGUUUUCCACAGUCCCAAGGAACACGUGACUGUGUGUUUCCACACUUGAGAAGUCAGGAUAAGACCCCUUGGAUAAUGGAACAGGGGAUGGGGGUGGGAGCAAGCACCCUACCUGGUCACCUGCUUAACUUAGAAACCAGCUUUUAAAACCUGUAACUGCAGUAUGAGCUACGAUCAAAUUUGUCUUAACGUAUUUUUUUUAAUGUUUUUAAUACCCAGAACACAGGGCUUCUACUCCAGGGUUUCCUCGCCAGGGAACCCCAAACACACAGGACCUGGAGAAGCCGGGUAGAGCUGGCUCCUGGCCCUGCGCUUGGGUGGUCGGCUGCCUUAAGAAGAACUGCACCCCAGAGACAGGCUCGCAGCUGCCGACCUUAUCCACUCGCCCUUUCUGCUGGAGCCCAGGCCCAGUGCUCCAGCAAGGAGGCUGAGAAAAUGCUGAAGACUGAUGCCCACGGGGGACAGCUUGGGCUAAGGAUAACGUUUGCAAAACAAACCUUUAAAAACCCAUAGCAACCUGUUUCCUAGAGCACACUCUUCAUCUCUCCACCCCCAAACUAGUCCCGACUCGGAUCCUCCUUUUCCUAUCCUCUUUCUCUUGCUCUCCCGUCUCCUAUUCACUUUUCUUCUCCUUUCCUCUUGAUUAUUAUAAACAAAUGCUUUCCAAGUCUUACCGCCAUCAUAUGUGUACAUAUGCAACCCUUACUGUUACCAAUUUGUUGAAGUCAAGACAGGAGGAGGCAAAGUUUAAAAAUCAGAAGUAUUGCAGGAAAUGAAAAUGGAGUGAGUGUUGCCUGGGUAUCAUAAUUUUUUUUUUUUUUUUAACAGUUCCUCUACUUGGCUCUCCUCCAAAGGUACGCGGCCACAGCAGGCAGGGGCUUGGCAGUGUGGGAGGAGACACCACAGAAGACAGGGAAGAACUACCAGGCCUUGGUUCAUCUCCACACUGGCGAGAGAGGACGUGCAGUUACCUGCUACCUGUUCGACUCAGUCUUUUACGUUGGAGUAACUUAACACAUUGCUGCCCUUAACUUUGACUUACUUGCUUUUAAAGAUGAUGAAGCUGGCCAGGCGCCGUGACUCAUACCUAUAAUCCCAGCAUUUUGGGAGGCCCAGGCAGGUGGAUCACGAGGUCAGCAGUUCAAGACCAGCCUGGCCAACAUGGUGAAACCCUGUCUCUACCAAAAAUACAAAAAUUAGCUGGGCGUGGUGGCGCGUGCCUAUAAUCCCAGCUACUCAGGAGGCUGAGGCAGGAGAAUCACUUGAACCCGGGAGGCAGAGGUUGCAGGGAGCCGAGAUCGCACCACUGCACUCCAGCCUGGGCAAUAGAGCAAGUCUCCAUCUAGGGAACAACAACAACAAAAAGAUUAUGAAGCCUUAGGAAGAACAGGGAUAUUCACCUGCUGCUGAGCCCCCCUCCGCUUUGAUCUUGUGAGUCUGCACUCUCCUGCUCCCCUGUCUCAGUCUCCUCUAGCUCCUGUUCCUUCUCCUACCUUGUGUUCUCUGCCAAUGAUAUGACUGGGGCUACUUUCUUUUUUCCUUCUCACACUCUCUUCUUGCUAAUUUCAACCAAUUUCCCUGCAUCAUCUCCACCUGCAAGCUGGUCCUUUACAGCAGAGCUUGGGGCCCUGCUGCCCAGUAGCACUCUGGACACCCUCACAUCAUCAUCAUCAUCCUAUUUUUAUUUAUUUUUUGGAAACAGGGUCUUGCUCUGUCGCCCACACUGGAGUGUAGUAGUGCAGUAGUGCGAUCACGGCUCACUGCAGCCCCGAUGUCCCUGGGCUCAGAUGUUCCUCCCGCCUCAGCCUCUGGAAUAACUGGGACCAUAGAUCCCUUCCACUGUGCCUAAUUUUUGUUUUUUGUUUUUGUUUUUGUUUUGAGACGGAGUCUCACUCUUCUUGCCCAGGCUGGAGUGCAGUGGCAUGAUCUCGACUCUCUGCAAACUCUGCCUCCCGGGUUCAAGUGAUCUCCU
This 2714-nucleotide long non-coding RNA is filed under the name Homo sapiens (human). Its description in RNAcentral is "non-protein coding EXTL3-AS1:1". The record is from RNAcentral. Lineage: Eukaryota; Metazoa; Chordata; Mammalia; Primates; Hominidae.